Molecule: ribosomal RNA, 495 nt
Filed under: uncultured bacterium
Lineage: Bacteria
Description: partial 16S ribosomal RNA
Rfam family: Bacterial small subunit ribosomal RNA
Source: RNAcentral
GAUGAACGCUGGCGGCGUGCCUAAUACAUGCAAGUCGAGCGAACAGACGAGGAGCUUGCUCCUCUGACGUUAGCGGCGGACGGGUGAGUAACACGUGGAUAACCUACCUAUAAGACUGGGAUAACUUCGGGAAACCGGAGCUAAUACCGGAUAAUAUAUUGAACCGCAUGGUUCAAUAGUGAAAGACGGUUUUGCUGUCACUUAUAGAUGGAUCCGCGCCGCAUUAGCUAGUUGGUAAGGUAACGGCUUACCAAGGCAACGAUGCGUAGCCGACCUGAGAGGGUGAUCGGCCACACUGGAGCGGAGACACGGUCCAGACUCCUACGGGAGGCAGCAGUAGGGAAUCUUCCGCAAUGGGCGAAAGCCUGACGGAGCAACGCCGCGUGAGUGAUGAAGGUCUUCGGAUCGUAAAACUCUGUUAUUAGGGAAGAACAAAUGUGUAAGUAACUAUGCACGUCUUGACGGUACCUAAUCAGAAAGCCACGGCUAACUACG